AAGUCGUAACAAGGUUUCCGUAGGUGAACCUGCGGAAGAAUCAUUAACACGUAUCCAAACGUUAAAAUUCCCCCCGUGAACCUUCAUCCUGCUCUUGUAACCUGCGUAGUUCGCAUUCUCUGAUAACGGAAAGUUGUAGUGAUCCAGAGACCUCUGGCUACGUGCGAACUUUGGAACAGUUACAAUCGAGCGGUAGUUCUAUAGGCAAUGUUCCCCAACGAGUGUACGGUCUACAGGAAUCGUAGAAGCGCUAUCCUUGCACAAUCAAUGACACUUUCCGACACUGACUGCUUCGGGCAGGAGCUUUGCCAAAGGGUCCCCAUGCCCCCUAAUAACCCCCCAGUUAAAUGUGAAGCUCAAUGUAAUACAUUGGGUAAAAAAACCGAACAACUGUUAACAAUGGAUAUCUUGGUUCUC
RNAcentral lists this unclassified non-coding RNA (417 nucleotides) under fungal sp. Its description in RNAcentral is "partial internal transcribed spacer region". The stretch from base 1 to 46 matches the Rfam family "Eukaryotic small subunit ribosomal RNA", at positions 1786 to 1831 of the family's 1831-position model. The record is from RNAcentral. Lineage: Eukaryota; Fungi.